AGGAAUAAAAAAAGACAGUAGUUCAUCCUUAUUUCUUGAAAUCCGCCACACAGCCAGGACGGAGCUUGGGAAAGUCUAGAGCCAGGGAUGGCUCUCUCCCUCCUCUAUGCUCAGCCCUCACCCUGACCAUCAUUCUACAGGGAUACUCUGCAAGGUGCAGGCUAAUGUGAACUAUGAAUGUCCACUGAGAAAGUCACAUUUUAAAAUUGUAAAUUUAACUGAUAUACUCCUCCUCCCAAUAGGACAGAUAACAUGUUACUAAGGUUCUGAGUGUCAUCUAACUUUGUUUCUCUUCUGCCUCAAGAAAUCUAACAAGUAGUUUUGGUAUUAAUAUCUGCGUUGGAGUACUUCCUUAUAUCUUACUUUGGACGUAAGUUUUAGAACCUAAAACUAGGAGUCAUUGAGUGAGUGCUAUAAUGACCGAAUAUUUGUUUCAAAGUGCAUUGCGUUGCUUCUUUCCUGUGAUCCUUGACGAUAGGAUUUGAAACCCAACAUCUAUCUACUCAUUCUGAUUCAGAGGCUCAAGGGCAUUAAGUAAUAGAUAUCCAACAUAAGAGACCCACAACAAUGGUCCUAUAGUUUUAUUAAAGAUAGUGAAAAAGCUAAUAUCAAGUUCCUUAAAUGAUAGUGAGACAAACUUUCCAUGAGGCCAGAGGCCCCCUCUGUCAGUCAAGCAACAUCCUCUACUCUCAGGCUCCCAUCUGACACCAGGUUGUGAAGGCCUUGGGGCCCUUUACCCAUGACUAGCCCAUGACAGAAUGCUUUCUUCCACAGAGUCUUCACUCCCUCUAAAGAGGCCAGGAGUGUUAGGUGAGGAGGAAUGUACAUGCUGAGGUCAGUUCUGGACCAGCCCCAGGCCAAUGGUACAGAGAAGGAUGAUAGCAGCUGAAUGGCUCAGAAAGAGUCCAAAGCCAGCUUAACACUGGUAACAAUUUUACCCCUACCCCAAGAGCUGACAUGCGUCCAAUUCCAGUUCCUCUUUCCCCACCUAAAUGAUCCCAGAGGUGGCACUAAGCCCAGCCCACUCACAAUCUAGGACAGCGAUAGUCAGACAUCUCAAUGGGCCCAGCUUCCCAGUAGUAGGAGUGACUGAGAACAGCACUAGGGGGCCCCUGCCACAUCAAAGAGAAGCAUCUAUGAGGGGUUACUGCCAUAAUGCCAACCUUCUUGCUGUGCUUUGAGAAACAAACCAAAUCCCACCUCCCUUCAAAGAGCUCUACUUGCUAUGAAAAGUAAUCCCACCCCCUACUAAAGUCCUGAGACUUAGGUGGCCCUGAGGCCAGUAGGAGGCUUUGGGGUAUCUCAAGAGCAGCCACACUUCUCCACCAAGGAAGUGUUCACAUAGUGCACACUCAUCUUGUGUUCGUCAUCCUGGACCAUCAGGGAGAAGAGUCUGACCAUGGUGGGACGGCAGGUCUGGAAGAGCCAGGGACAGGCUGGCAUCAGCGACAUCAGUGGCUGGAAUCUUUGUCUCUGCCAAGAGGGUGGGCACCACCUCCAUCCAAUACGUGAGUAAACAGUAGAUAUCCAAUAAUGACCCUCCCUCUGACUGGUAGGAUGAAAAGAUAAUGGGGAAAGAUCCCAGAAGGAAUCUUUGGAGGCCCCUUCUAUGGUCCUCGAACUCUAGAACAAGCUCAGUGGCAUGGGGGACAAUGGGCACCCAAGCCCAUAACUUUAUCAAGGAAACCCCCAAGAAGGAAACUGCCUCAAAACAGAGAAGCCAGUAGCUGUGUAGGAACUAUGAGCCUGUAGGGAAAGAAGAGUGGAAGCUCCAGGAGGCCACUAUCGUGGAAAGUCCCACCUCCCUUUCAGCUUCUUACUCCCCACUACCCAGCCGGGCAGGACAGGACAAAGACUUAGCAGUCUCAGCUUGUCAAAGUCAGUGCUUAGUCCACAGCAGCCAGGGAUGGACUGAGGUUCCUCAACUCCCAUCACCCUACCCCUGGAAUUAAGUCAGAAUGAUUGCCCUAGUACUGAAAAUCAUUCCAGUCACCAUGACCUAAGACAAGCCACUUGCCCUGUUUAUCUCCCAAAACACUAUAGUUGCCCAGCCCAGCAGCUGUGUACUUCACACUUUAGAGCAUCCUUACACACAGAACUUUAGGGCAUCAGCCAUAAAGCUUAAAGACAUCCUACAUACCAAGCCUGCAGAGCUGAAACCAGGAAGCAGAUUCCAUUUCUGCUAGACCAGCUGAAGAAUAUUCUGUACCCAACUCCUUGCUCUACUCACAAGAGCCCUUAAUAUCUGUUGUCAUUUACACCCCAUUCCCUGACCAGCCCCACAAAAUGCUGCCAGGCAGCUUCUGGAUCACUCCUUCCCUGGCAAAGACCAGCGCUCCAGCUACUUACUUUUGAAUAUGAGGGUAAAACCAUGUUGCCUGGCAGAAAAAAAUCUCAUUUAUGUGGGAAGGCAGCAUCGGGUUGGGACAGUCAAACGUCUCUACUGAGCUCAAACACAUGCACCAAAGACCCAGAGCCAAGAGCCCAGGAAUGAGCCAGGAGCUGCCACUUCUCCCACAGCCACCCUCCAACAUACCUGCUCUCAGAAGCGGGGCUUCCCCUUCGCUGUCUUUAAAUAUCCACGUGCCCAGCUGUAGGCCCUAUUCUAACCCCCCACAGCUUGUAGCUGAUCACGCAUUCAAGAGAAAUUAAAUUCAAGUGAGAGAAACUCUCACUCCCAGAACAACU
This 2688-nucleotide long non-coding RNA is filed under the name Homo sapiens (human). RNAcentral's name for it is "HSALNT0088119". Lineage: Eukaryota; Metazoa; Chordata; Mammalia; Primates; Hominidae. The record is from RNAcentral.